AGCAGUAGCCACGGUAAUACGAAGGGGGCUAGCGUUGCUCGGAAUUACUGGGCGUAAAGGGAGCGUAGGCGGACAUUUAAGUCAGGGGUGAAAUCCCAGAGCUCAACUCUGGAACUGCCUUUGAUACUGGGUGUCUUGAGUGUGAUAGAGGUAUGUGGAACUCCGAGUGUAGAGGUGAAAUUCGUAGAUAUUCGGAAGAACACCAGUGGCGAAGGCGACAUACUGGAUCAUUACUGACGCUGAGGCUCGAAAGCGUGGGGAGCAAACAGGAUUAGAUACCCGCGUAGUCCCUGUCUCUUAUAA
This 303-nucleotide ribosomal RNA is filed under the name uncultured bacterium. Its description in RNAcentral is "partial 16S ribosomal RNA". It matches the Rfam family "Bacterial small subunit ribosomal RNA", at positions 507 to 809 of the family's 1533-position model. The record is from RNAcentral.